AGGUCCUAGUCCACGAUUACUUGCGCCUUAUACCCAGAGGUCUCUUUUUAAGGGCCGGCCUGCGCCUUAUACCCAGAGGUCUCUUUUUAAGGGCCGGCCUGCGCCUUAUACCCAGAGGUCUCUUUUUAAGGGCCGGCCUGCGCCUUAUACCCAGAGGUCUCUUUUUAAGGGCCGGCCUGCGCCUUAUACCCAGAGGUCUCUUUUUAAGGGCCGGCCUGCGCCUUAUACCCAGAGGUCUCUUUUUAAGGGCCGGCCUGCGCCUUAUACCCAGAGGUCUCUUUUUAAGGGCCGGCAUAAGUAUGUUUUGAUCUUCAAGACAACAGCAUGAGACCUGAGAUUUCUUGAUGUUCAGGAUCUGAUGACUCAUGUUGAGUGAUACUAUAUUUUUAGAUGCUGAUUUUCAAUUAGGUUUGGCAAUGCUAAUGCCUCUAUUCAUCAGUGGUAUAACCAUCCUAAAUAGGUUACGAAAUAUACCCCCUAUCCCUGAACCAUACAUAGUCGGGGUUUCAUGAUAACCUUGGGGUGACAGGUAGCCUAGUGGUUAGAGUGUUGGGCCAGUAACUGAAUGGUUGCUAGAUUGAAUCCCCGAGCUGACAAGGUAAAAAUCUGUUGUUCUGCCCCUGAACAAGGCAGUUAACCCACUGUUCCUAGGCUGUCAUUGUAAAUAAAAAUUUGUUCAUAACUGAUUUGCCUAGUUAAAUUAAAAUAACUGGGUAAUCCAUUACCCACUUGAUCCACAUAGUAUGUUACAUAGUGUAUAGAGACGGUGGUUGUGUACCAUAACAAUUGUUUAUUGUGAUUAUACGUAAUAUUUUUUUAGAUAUGUAGAGAAACUUUGAAAGGUCUAAAUUGGAGUUUAACAAUCACUUCACCAUAAGUAAACACUAUAUUUUGGUUCUGAUCUAUUUUAAUCUGAUCCUGAAUGUUUUCAAUAUAUUUCUUGAUUACAGGUACAUAGUGUGACUUGUCAUAGUUAACAAUGAUUCCAUCCCCAUCCUUUCCAUCUAUAUGAACUGUUCUCAGGACUGGUACAUAACUGUCUCCUACACUUUGAUAGGAUAUGAUGUCAGUAUACACCAACAUGUUGUUAAACCCUGCAUGUAUAUCCACAGGGUAUGUUGUUAAACCCUGCAUGUAUAUCCACAGGGUAUGUUGUUAAACCCUGCAUGUAUAUCCACAGGGUAUGUUGUUAAACCCUGCAUGUAUAUCCACAGGGUAUGUUGUUAACCUCUAUGGGCUAGGCGGGACGAAUUCGUCCCACCUACGUAACAGCCACUUGAAGCCUGUGGCGCGAUUUUCAAAACCUUAAAAAUCCUAUUACUUCAAUUUCUCAAACAUAUGACUAUUUUACAGCUAUUUAAAGACA
RNAcentral lists this long non-coding RNA (1366 nucleotides) under Salmo salar (Atlantic salmon). Its description in RNAcentral is "lncRNA (ENSSSAG00000106261.1)". Lineage: Eukaryota; Metazoa; Chordata; Actinopteri; Salmoniformes; Salmonidae. The record is from RNAcentral.